Molecule: long non-coding RNA, 696 nt
Filed under: Penaeus japonicus
Lineage: Eukaryota; Metazoa; Arthropoda; Malacostraca; Decapoda; Penaeidae
Description: uncharacterized LOC122258719, transcript variant X2
Source: RNAcentral
CAGGUAGCUCUGGGGUUCAGCUUGUUUCGAGUUGAGGAUUGCGUAUGAAACGAUUCCACGCUCUACCAAUUUCGGCUUCAAGUCUGCAAUUAUGCCUAAACGAAGGCUGCUCACUCUUCACUCCAAGAUAUGUGAGGAGCCAAGCAGGAUUUCCUCCUUGAGGCGUCACGUCCAGAUCCUUAAGAGAGAUUCCCUUGUAUCGUUAUCUCGUCUUGAGGGAAGUGACGUCACUAUCGAAGACGAUUCGGCCUUUCAGGACUCGGAGACUGAUGUGGCAGACAGAUUCUUCGGUAUAAUAUGUGAGUGAGAGAGAGAAAGUGAGAGAAAGAGUCCACACAGAUUGCAGGCGAGUGCCGGCAGGCCUUGAUAGUCAGUCUACGAAGUGAUCAAAACUGUCUAGGUACUCCAGACUGGCCAAGUAGCAGAACCUGUACUCCUCCUAAAACACAGAACUGGACGCUGUGUGCGGAGGUUGCGGACGGUCUGGAACAUGUCAACAACACCCUCGUACUGCAUGCGCUCCAGGACCUGGCUCAAGGUGAUAAACACACCAGUGCGUCCAACGCCAGCACUAAAGGAGGAAAAGUAACUUGUUAAGAUAUGUAGGUGGAAUUUAGAUUUUUGGUGAUUUUUUUUUUUAACUGAUUUUUAUUUUUUUUGUCUUUCAUUUUGUUUUUCUUCUUUUUUUGUUACAGC